AGUGAACGCUGGCGGUAGGCCUAACACAUGCAAGUCGAACGGCAGCACAGUAAGAGCUCGCUCUUACGGGUGGCGAGUGGCGGAUGGGUGAGGAAUACAUCGGAAUCUACUUUUUAGUGGGGGAUGACGUAGGGAAACUUACGCUAAUACCGCAUACGACCUACGGGUGAAAGCAGGAGAUCUUCGGACCUUGCGCGAUUGAAUGAGCCGAUGUCGGAUUAGCUAGUUGGCGGGGUAAAGGCCCACCAAGGCGACGAUCCGUAGCUGGUCUGAGAGGAUGACCAGCCACACUGGAACUGAGACACGGUCCAGACUCCUACGGGAGGCAGCAGUGGGGAAUAUUGGACAAUGGGCGCAAGCCUGAUCCAGCCAUGCCGCGUGAGUGAAGAAGGCCUUCGGGUUGUAAAGCCCUUUUGUUGGGGAAGAAAAGGUGGAGGUUAAUACCCCGCUGUUCUGACGGUACCCGAAGAAUAAGCACCGGCUAACUUCGUG
This 492-nucleotide ribosomal RNA is filed under the name uncultured bacterium. RNAcentral's name for it is "partial 16S ribosomal RNA". It matches the Rfam family "Bacterial small subunit ribosomal RNA", at positions 29 to 507 of the family's 1533-position model. The record is from RNAcentral.